This 26-nucleotide non-coding RNA is filed under the name Gallus gallus (chicken). The record is from RNAcentral. Lineage: Eukaryota; Metazoa; Chordata; Aves; Galliformes; Phasianidae. RNAcentral also lists the same sequence under 2 other names.
UUAUCAGUUUAAUAUCUGAUACGUCC